UAAGGUCACGGCGAGACGAGCCGUUUAUCAUUACGAUAGGUGUCAAGCGGAAGUGCAGUGAUGUAUGCAGCUGAGGCAUCCUAACAGACCGAGAGAUUUGAAC
RNAcentral lists this ribosomal RNA (103 nucleotides) under Persea americana (avocado). Its description in RNAcentral is "4.5S ribosomal RNA". Lineage: Eukaryota; Viridiplantae; Streptophyta; Magnoliopsida; Laurales; Lauraceae. The record is from RNAcentral. RNAcentral also lists the same sequence under 263 other names.